UGCAAGUCGAGCGGCAGCACGGGUACUUGUACCUGGUGGCGAGCGGCGGACGGGUGAGUAAUGCCUAGGAAUCUGCCUGGUAGUGGGGGAUAACGCUCGGAAACGGACGCUAAUACCGCAUACGUCCUACGGGAGAAAGCAGGGGACCUUCGGGCCUUGCGCUAUCAGAUGAGCCUAGGUCGGAUUAGCUAGUUGGUGAGGUAAUGGCUCACCAAGGCGACGAUCCGUAACUGGUCUGAGAGGAUGAUCAGUCACACUGGAACUGAGACACGGUCCAGACUCCUACGGGAGGCAGCAGUGGGGAAUAUUGGACAAUGGGCGAAAGCCUGAUCCAGCCAUGCCGCGUGUGUGAAGAAGGUCUUCGGAUUGUAAAGCACUUUAAGUUGGGAGGAAGGGCAGUUACCUAAUACGUAUCUGUUUUGACGUUACCGACAGAAUAAGCACCGGCUAACUCUGUGCCAGCAGCCGCGGUAAUACAGAGGGUGCAAGCGUUAAUCGGAAUUACUGGGCGUAAAGCGCGCGUAGGUGGUUCGUUAAGUUGGAUGUGAAAUCCCCGGGCUCAACCUGGGAACUGCAUUCAAAACUGACGAGCUAGAGUAUGGUAGAGGGUGGUGGAAUUUCCUGUGUAGCGGUGAAAUGCGUACAUAUAGGAAGGAACAC
This 660-nucleotide ribosomal RNA is filed under the name Pseudomonas mandelii. RNAcentral describes it as "bacterial SSU rRNA". It matches the Rfam family "Bacterial small subunit ribosomal RNA", at positions 56 to 709 of the family's 1533-position model. The record is from RNAcentral. Lineage: Bacteria; Pseudomonadati; Pseudomonadota; Gammaproteobacteria; Pseudomonadales; Pseudomonadaceae.